GAAGGAUGAAAACAUAUUAUUAUAGCUAAAACCCCAUGAAGAAACAAAAAUGGAAAGGAAGGGAAGGCAGAGAGAGAAAGGAGGUGGAAAGAUAUAUGUGUAAAAAAUCCACAGAUCUUUCCAUAUAAGUUAAACCCAGAGUCUACAGGAAUCAUCUCUAGAAUUCCAAAGCUCCACUUUGCUAAUUUACGCUAAGGAAAACAGGCUCUAAGACAAUCAAUGACAAACGAAAAAUACCCAAAAUAAUCUAACUAGUUCUUUUUGCUCAUAUAUGAUUAAGGUACAAACGGAUAUAAUGAGAUAUCUAAAAAGACCGUUUGAAAUUAUUUUUUAAAAAUUAUGC
This 343-nucleotide unclassified non-coding RNA is filed under the name Hevea brasiliensis (rubber tree). The record is from RNAcentral. Lineage: Eukaryota; Viridiplantae; Streptophyta; Magnoliopsida; Malpighiales; Euphorbiaceae.